AAUGAACGCUGGCGGCGUGCCUAACACAUGCAAGUCGAGCGAGAAAGUCCCUUCGGGGAUUAGUAAAGCGGCGAACGGUUGAGUAACACGUGAGAAUCUUCCCUUCAAUGGAGAAUACCCUCGAGAAAUCGAGGUUAAUACUGCAUACGUCCCUAGCGGGAGAAAGGUGGCCUAAUUUGCUAUCGUUGAAGGAUGAGCUUGCGGGCUAUCAGUUAGUUGGUAGGGUAAUGGCCUACCAAGACGAUGACGGCUAGCCGGCUUGAGAGAGUGGUCGGCCAGACUGGAACUGAGACACGGUCCAGACUCCUACGGGAGGCAGCAGUGGGGAAUCUUGCGCAAUGGGCGAAAGCCUGACGCAGCGACGCCGCGUGGAGGAUGACGGCCUUCGGGUUGUAAACUCCUGUUAAGUGGGAAGAAAGGCCUAGUUAUAAUACAGCUAGGAGAUGACGGUACCACUAGAGAAAGCACUGGCUAAUCUCGUGCCAGCCGCCGCGGUAAAAC
RNAcentral lists this ribosomal RNA (501 nucleotides) under uncultured bacterium. RNAcentral's name for it is "bacterial SSU rRNA". It matches the Rfam family "Bacterial small subunit ribosomal RNA", at positions 29 to 526 of the family's 1533-position model. The record is from RNAcentral.